Long non-coding RNA from Ipomoea nil (Japanese morning glory), 429 nucleotides. RefSeq lists it as uncharacterized. The record is from RefSeq and is a predicted model, not a curated record. The transcript has 4 exons. NCBI's taxonomy places the organism in Eukaryota, Viridiplantae, Streptophyta, Magnoliopsida, Solanales, Convolvulaceae.
CUAACCCAUCUCACUACAUCCCUCACCCUUUUCACUAACUCAUUUGCAAACCUCAACCCAUCUUUAACCACUAAGUUUAGGAUAUGGGCUAUGCACCUCAUGUGCAUGUACUGCACCCUAACAGGAGAAGAACCCCAAAAUAACAGCUUGCUCUUAAAAAAACUCAAAGUUGUAUCAUUAGAAGAAACAUUGUCCACUGUAAUAGUGAAUACAUUUUUAAUCCCCCACUCCAAUAGACAACUCUUUAAGGCUUUUGCAAUAUACUCCCCCCUAUGAGAAGAAACAGGGACAAAGGAAAUUAUUUUUUUCUGAAGCUUCCACUGGUCAUCAAUAAAAUGUGCAGUAAUGCACAUAUAAUUAAUUCUCUGGACAGAAGUCCAUGUAUCAGUGGUUAAACUGACCCUUUGGCUACUACCCUUAAGAAGUUGC